This is a long non-coding RNA of Esox lucius (northern pike), 1679 nucleotides long. Lineage: Eukaryota; Metazoa; Chordata; Actinopteri; Esociformes; Esocidae. The record is from Ensembl.
UUUUUUGGAAUAGGAUACAAAUUCCUUUAAUGUGCAUCACUGUUAUUUUUUUAAUCAAUAAGGGCCAAUAUCAAACAAUAUGCACAACAGACAUCUUACACAUAGACAUGUAACACUGGAACAUGACAUACAACACAAUGACCCACCUGGACAGGGAGAAAAUGGCUGUCCAUUACUAAAUACACAGACUAACAAGGAGAACAGAAACAGGUGGAUAGCUAAACACAGGUGAAAGGAAUAAACUGAUUAACUGAAACGAGAACAGGAAAGCCCAAACAAGGACAUGACAAACCAAGGACACACAGAAAAGCGGAACAGUCCUGUCCAGCUGGGACUGUUACAGCACCACCCCCGUCAGGCGCGGCUCCAGCUGCAAGACAAAAGAAACAAAGGGUGGUGGCUAUGCCUCGGGACGGGGACCGAGGACAGGACCAGGCGGAGGCUCCGCUGUGGUGGACCAACCAGGAGCCGGCGGAGGAGCAGGGAGAACAGGAGCAGGGAGAGCAGGAGCCGGCGGAGGAUCAGGAGCCGGUGGAGGGUCAGGAGCCGGCGGAGGAUCAGGAGCCGGCGGAGGAUCAGGAGCCGGCGGAGGGUCAGGAGCAGGGAGAGCGUGGAGAGGACCAGGAGCCAGGUGAGCGUGGAGAGCAGGCGACAGCCCCGCCUCGGGAGCAGAAUGAGGCAGCGGCCUUGCCUCGGGAGCAGAAUGAGUCAGCGGCCCCGCCUUGGGGGGGUGGCAGCAGGAAUCCCUCCUCUGGUGGCAGCUCCUAAAAAAUGGCCAUCUGAAUGGAGUUCCCCUACCGCCCACCUCUGCUGCCUCCAUCAUAUUGGGUCGGUCAUUCUGUCACGGUUUACGGAUGGAGACUGAGCAUACCUGUCAAGUUUUGGAUUUGAAAAUAAGGGACAUUUUCCGCCGCCCACCGCGAGCUGUCCCACCACCCCAACCAAGCUCCAGUAUCCCUUAUAUUUUAAGACAGGUGUACAAGAAAGCUAAAAUCACCACUUGAUGCAGAAUGCUGAAAACAUUUACAAUUUAUAACAUUGCUUGUCUUUACAUUUAAUUUUCAUUCCACACAUUCUUUUCAUUUCAUAUUGCUUUUCUUUUACAGUGUUUCUUUUCAUUUCACAUAACUUUUCUUUACUCUUUUAGUGAGUUAUUGUACAAAUUUGUUGCAGACUUUGCAUUCUUUAAGAACGUUUUGGAAGGAGUGUAUUUGUGGGCUGGGCCAGAGUGGUUAAUUUUACAUGAGAGUAGAGCGCAAACAGUUCUGUUGUCUAAGGUCAUCCUAUUCUCUGUAACAAUCUUUCGUACCAUGCUAAACACCCUUUCUGAUCUUGCAUUGCUAUGUGCUAUGUGCCUCUAGCCCACGCUUGUGCUUUGUGAAUUUCUGGUGCUGACAUACAUCAUUCCUUCCCCCGUGUGAGAUGCUAAAGUCGCAGUUACAAAACUUACAAAACGCCUGACUGUCCCCCACACUGCUCCUCUUCCGAAAAGUAAAUUCGCUGUCCCAUUGAUCGCGGUAUUUACAUGAGGGUUUUGGUUUUUUGGCAGGAGCGCCAUCCGUCUCUGUACUAGCGUCCAUCAUCCGCUGUACCUCGUCAUUUUUCCCGCGUUGUCACUCGUCAUCUGACCUCACACACUAACCACGCGACAACUGCCACCUACAGUACCUGUAGUAGAC